RNAcentral lists this long non-coding RNA (1784 nucleotides) under Homo sapiens (human). RNAcentral's name for it is "HSALNT0355822". Lineage: Eukaryota; Metazoa; Chordata; Mammalia; Primates; Hominidae. The record is from RNAcentral.
GGGACACCCAAAGGGGGACAGUGAGCCCACUGUGUCUUUUAGAACCCAAAGCGAGUUACUGCAAACCUCAGGCAAUUGAAGUGAAUAUUGGCUAGCUCAAAAGGCUGUGAAGAUGACCACCGUAUCUAUCUGAGUAAUUUUUUUCUUCUGUCUCAGUCUUGAAAUCAGGCAUGGUUAUUUUUAUUUUCGGUGUAUGCAGGCUUAACCUAUGUGCUUAUAUUCACAAUGAACUCUUGAAUCGGAUCCUCUGUGUUUUGCUGGGGAGUAUUCAUUCCCCACUUGACCUGCUUUGUUGCUCAAAACUUUGUAGCUCAUCUUUGCCUUCCCGUCUGUUUAUUCUUGGUGUGGGGUUGUCAAGGAGAAAUGUUGGAAGGGAGAGAAGGGAGCAGGCAUCAUAGAUGGUAUUACAGGCGGCUGGUCUCUCCUCUCUCAGCCAACUAUGAGAACUAUUUGGGAUUGAAGGAGAUAAGCUACAGCAAGUCGUUACUUGUCCUGAAUGCACGACCUUCUUUCUUUGAGCAAGAGGACAAACCUGGGUAGGGAUCUCUAUGAUGUUUUCUGCGUUGCCCGUGGACGUUCAUCUUUCUGAUUUGUUAGCUGAAGAUGAGGAUCUGGAGCAGGAGCUCGGAGUGCCAUUGUUCCAUGGGCAGAUGUGCAGCAGAGAUUAGCAUUAGGAAGACAAGCAGGGCCUUCAGUAGGCAUAAGGUGAUGAGGUUCAUGCCGUUGGAUCCCACGGGUGCCCUGGGGAAGAGAUGGUUGGGAAGUCUGAGAGGAAGCAGGAGAGCUUUCGGAGCACAUGGAUGCCGUCCAGAAUGGAGAUGGUUGUGGCUCGGAAGAAAAAGAAAUCACCCAGCUCGGAGUCAGGAUACAUUUGGAGGUCCAGGCCGCCGAGUUUGCUGGUGGGGAAGAUAGGCACCAGAAAGGAAAGAGGACAUCCAGGGCAAUUUCUUCUGCCCCCCAGCCAAUCCGUACAUUGUCCAGAGGCCAAGCCUACUGCUGUUAGAAAACAUAUUUAGAAAUCACUUGGUUCUUCCUUGCCUGAACAUCAUCUAUUUAGUUAGCUUGUGUUGUUUAGAUGUGCUUCAGAUCUCAAAAAAAUAAAUUAUGUUAUUUGAAAGCUUGCUCUCUGCUUGUUUACACUAUUAAUUUAGAGUCCAGAGGAAUCUCUAAAUUUGCCUCUAGAAACCACAUAAUCACCUAAUAAUACCUUUCCUGACUCCACUUUCUGACACAAAGUGACUUUUGAAACGCUUCCAUCUUCCCUUUCUAUUUAAUGUACUGCACUCCACUCUUUUUUCCUUUCGUUUUUUCUACAGUCCGUCAUGGAGUAUUUGUUUACCAAAUGUUACUUUUCUUGGAUCCAAUCUAUUUUUGAAGAGCGCAAAAGCAAACAACUGUUUGAAGCUGUCAAGCUUCAUUUUAUUUAUGCAUGAAUAACACAAAUAACUUGAAAAUGACCUAGUCUGUUUUUCUCAGAUUUAGAUAGAAAAACUGCUUCCGGCCAAUGUUUAUGCCAAUUUGUUCAUGCCAAGUUUCCAGUUUCGGUGCCAACCGGUUUUUACAGCCAAGUUGUAAACCUUCGGUAAACAUGGCUUAUAAUGAAAAGUGCAACACAGCCUGAACCCUGGCACCAGGGGACGGAUGUAAAUUUAUUCUAAGAACAAAAUUCUAACAGGAACAGGAGGGGAGCUAGGCUGGCUACAAAGUGUUCCCACCGUAAUAUGGAAAAUGUACAGAUGAUGAUAUAUUUGAUUACUAAGAUCCCAUUAGGCCAAUUUAGGCAC